Non-coding RNA from Mycena polygramma, 93 nucleotides. The record is from the annotation of a GenBank genome assembly. Lineage: Eukaryota; Fungi; Basidiomycota; Agaricomycetes; Agaricales; Mycenaceae.
GCCCUCGUAGAUCAACGGUAGAUCAUCCCCCCUGAAUUGGUAUUUCAAGUGGUUUUUCAGUGGACGACGUGGGUUCGACUCCCACCGAGGGCG